AUUGAACGCUGGCGGCAUGCUUUACACAUGCAAGUCGAACGGUAACAGGCCUUCGGGUGCUGACGAGUGGCGAACGGGUGAGUAAUGCAUCGGAACGUACCCAGAGGUGGGGGAUAACGCAGCGAAAGCUGUGCUAAUACCGCAUGUGAUCUGAGGAUGAAAGCGGGGGACCGAGCAGCAAUGUUUGGCCUCGCGCCUUUGGAGCGGCCGAUGUCGGAUUAGCUAGUUGGUGGGGUAAAGGCCUACCAAGGCGACGAUCCGUAGCUGGUCUGAGAGGACGACCAGCCCCACUGGGACUGAGCCACGGCCCAGACUCCUACGGGAGGCAGCAGUGGGGAAUUUUGGACAAUGGGCGCAAGCCUGAUCCAGCAAUGCCGCGUGCGGGAAGAAGGCCUUCGGGUUGUAAACCGCUUUUGGCAGGAACGAAACGGUGUCCGCUAAUACCGGGCGCUAAUGACGGUACCUGCAGAAUAAGCACCGGCUAACUACGUG
RNAcentral lists this ribosomal RNA (492 nucleotides) under uncultured bacterium. RNAcentral describes it as "partial 16S ribosomal RNA". It matches the Rfam family "Bacterial small subunit ribosomal RNA", at positions 29 to 507 of the family's 1533-position model. The record is from RNAcentral.